RNAcentral lists this ribosomal RNA (1428 nucleotides) under Enterococcus sp. RNAcentral describes it as "bacterial SSU rRNA". It matches the Rfam family "Bacterial small subunit ribosomal RNA". The record is from RNAcentral. Lineage: Bacteria; Bacillati; Bacillota; Bacilli; Lactobacillales; Enterococcaceae.
UCAUGGCAGUUCGUACGCUUCUUUUUCCCCGGAGCUUGCUCCACCGGAAAAAGAAGAGUGGCGAACGGGUGAGUAACACGUGGGUAACCUGCCCAUCAGAAGGGGAUAACACUUGGAAACAGGUGCUAAUACCGUAUAACAAUCGAAACCGCAUGGUUUUGAUUUGAAAGGCGCUUUCGGGUGUCGCUGAUGGAUGGACCCGCGGUGCAUUAGCUAGUUGGUGAGGUAACGGCUCACCAAGGCCACGAUGCAUAGCCGACCUGAGAGGGUGAUCGGCCACAUUGGGACUGAGACACGGCCCAAACUCCUACGGGAGGCAGCAGUAGGGAAUCUUCGGCAAUGGACGAAAGUCUGACCGAGCAACGCCGCGUGAGUGAAGAAGGUUUUCGGAUCGUAAAACUCUGUUGUUAGAGAAGAACAAGGAUGAGAGUAACUGUUCAUCCCUUGACGGUAUCUAACCAGAAAGCCACGGCUAACUACGUGCCAGCAGCCGCGGUAAUACGUAGGUGGCAAGCGUUGUCCGGAUUUAUUGGGCGUAAAGCGAGCGCAGGCGGUUUCUUAAGUCUGAUGUGAAAGCCCCCGGCUCAACCGGGGAGGGUCAUUGGAAACUGGGAGACUUGAGUGCAGAAGAGGAGAGUGGAAUUCCAUGUGUAGCGGUGAAAUGCGUAGAUAUAUGGAGGAACACCAGUGGCGAAGGCGGCUCUCUGGUCUGUAACUGACGCUGAGGCUCGAAAGCGUGGGGAGCAAACAGGAUUAGAUACCCUGGUAGUCCACGCCGUAAACGAUGAGUGCUAAGUGUUGGAGGGUUUCCGCCCUUCAGUGCUGCAGCUAACGCAUUAAGCACUCCGCCUGGGGAGUACGACCGCAAGGUUGAAACUCAAAGGAAUUGACGGGGGCCCGCACAAGCGGUGGAGCAUGUGGUUUAAUUCGAAGCAACGCGAAGAACCUUACCAGGUCUUGACAUCCUUUGACCACUCUAGAGAUAGAGCUUCCCCUUCGGGGGCAAAGUGACAGGUGGUGCAUGGUUGUCGUCAGCUCGUGUCGUGAGAUGUUGGGUUAAGUCCCGCAACGAGCGCAACCCUUAUUGUUAGUUGCCAUCAUUCAGUUGGGCACUCUAGCAAGACUGCCGGUGACAAACCGGAGGAAGGUGGGGAUGACGUCAAAUCAUCAUGCCCCUUAUGACCUGGGCUACACACGUGCUACAAUGGGAAGUACAACGAGUCGCGAAGUCGCGAGGCUAAGCUAAUCUCUUAAAGCUUCUCUCAGUUCGGAUUGUAGGCUGCAACUCGCCUACAUGAAGCCGGAAUCGCUAGUAAUCGCGGAUCAGCACGCCGCGGUGAAUACGUUCCCGGGCCUUGUACACACCGCCCGUCACACCACGAGAGUUUGUAACACCCGAAGUCGGUGAGGUAACCUUUUGGAGCCAGC